RNAcentral lists this long non-coding RNA (5140 nucleotides) under Anas platyrhynchos (mallard). RNAcentral's name for it is "lncRNA (ENSAPLG00020007675.1)". Lineage: Eukaryota; Metazoa; Chordata; Aves; Anseriformes; Anatidae. The record is from RNAcentral.
AUGGUGGCCUGGUGGGGAGAUAUCAGCCUGCUGUGGGCAUGGGGUGAUGUCCCAGGUUCCCCAUCCUGUCCCUGUGUCCCCAUAUUCCCAUGUCCCCAUGUCCCCAUCCCGUCCCCAUCCUGUCCAUAUGUCCUUAUAUCCCCAUCCCAUCCCGAUGUCCCCAUGUCCCCAUCCCGAUGUCCCCAUGUCCCCAUCCCAUCCCACCUUGGUCCAAACCCGCAGCUCCACAGCCAAGCUCCUCAGCAGCCUGCAGGGAAUGCAUUUGGGAACAGCCAGUUAGCCGUAAUAUUAGGGGUUAUUAAUAAUAAUAACCAAACUGGGGGAUGGGUGGAGGUGAGCCCCUGGCCCAGACACCCCCCCUCAAUAAAAAUGGCCCUUUGUGUGUGUGUGUGUGGAGGGGGGGGGGGGGCCGCCACCCAGCAGAGACCCCAAUUUUACACUUUUCAGUGGGUUAAAGCAUUGAAGGAGACAUUUGAAGCACAGAGCCUGAAAUUAAGCAGCAGUGGGCAAACAAAGAGGUGGGUGCUGUUGGUGCCCUGCCGAAAGCGGGGACAGAUGCAGCGUGAUGUGCUGAGGGAGCCUGAGGCGCCCGCACCCCUCUGUGCUGCUGCCACCACCACAAUGCCAGUGCCCAGUGCCCACCCGGUAAGCCCCAGCACAGCCCCCGGGACGUGAACGCAGCGUGCUCACAAGGAACCCCAGCUCCUGGGCUGCCCCAAGGCCCCCAUCCCUCGCCUGGGCUCACCACGAGCCGGGCCCUGCACCACCACGAACACCUCACGGGUUCAGCCCCCUCAUGUCAGGCUGUGGAGAGGUGAGGAGGGCUCCUUCCCCCCAAAAAAACCCUCCCAACCCUUCUGACACAAUAAAACCUUCCCUCAGCCCUCACCCCACGCAUGGUCGCUGCCCCCCCCCAGUACACUCAGAGGCGGCUGGCUGGGCAAAGGAGGUUUAUUGGGGCCAGGUUUUAGGGUUUCAGCUAUAAAUAGUGCUCUAGGUGUCGAGGCGGCACAGGGGGCUGUCGUAGACCAUCUGCAGGUUGACGCGGUGCCCCACCAGCUCGCGGAUGUUGUUGAUGCCGUACUUGAUCAUGGUGGGGCUGCAAAGGAGAGAAGUGGGGGGGGGGUCAGAUGGGGCUGGGCCCUGCCUGCCCCGGGGGGGGGGGGGGGGGCUGUGGCUGCCCCUCCACUCACCGCUCCAGCGAGAGCCCCCAGGCGAUGACGGAGACGUUCUCGGGCAGCCCCAUGGGCAGCAGCAGCUCGGGGCGGAAGACCCCCGAGUUCCCCACCUCCACCCACUUCUUCAGGCCUACAGAACGAGACGGGGGGGGCCCCCACCCCACAGGGUGUGAGAUGGGCACCCCGCAGACCGCCCCCCCACACGCUUUGCAGAGGGUCACGGGCUCCUCAGGGGUGCCCCCCAGGAGAGGGAGAGGUUAAGCCGAUCCCCAAAUUCCACAGAGAACGAGGCUGAGGUGACCCCCCCCACCUUAAAAAAACACACACAAGGGAGCCCCCCCACGCCUCGCAGGGCCCCCUCACCCUCGUGGUAGCUGAACACCUCCAUGCUGGGCUCCGUGUAGGGGUUAUAGGCAGGCUUGAAACGCAGCUUGGUGAUGCCUGGAGGGGGAAAAGGGGCGUCAGGGGGGUGCCCCAGCCCCCUCCCUUUGCCUCGGUGCCCCCCCCCCCGAGUACCCAGCUUGGUGAAGAACUCCCGGAGGGUGCCCAUGAGGUGGCCCAGGGUGAGCCCGCGGUCGGCCACCACCCCCUCCACCUGGUGGAACUCGGCCAGGUGGGUGGCGUCCAGGCUCUCGUUGCGGAACACGCGGUCGAUGGAGAAAUACUUCACGGGGGUGAACUUCUCCUGGAAAAACAUUGCGGGGGGGGGGAGUCAGGCAACGCACCCCCCAUGUUCCUUUUCCUUUUCUCCCCCCCCCCCUCCCUAAAUCCUGGCCCACCUGGCAGGCCAAGUGAUAGAGCGCGCGGGCGCUGGCGGACGUGGUGUGGGUGCGCAGCAGGUUCUUCCGCGCCUCCUCCACCUUCCACUCGUAUUUGUACCUGGGGGGGGGCUUAUCAGUCCCAAUGCUACUAGGAGGGUGGGGGGGGGGCCGGCAGAGCCCCCCCAAACUCAACCCCACCCCGCUCACCCCUGCGAGCCGUAGCCUCCCUGCGAGUGCACCUUCUUCACCUUGGCCAUGUAGCUGGCGGGCAGCUCAGGGGCUUCAGCGGGGUCUGGGGGGGGAAAGGGGGGGUCAGCGGGGAUUUGGGAAGCACGGGGAGGGGGGGCGGCGGGGAUUUGCCCCCCCACGCACCCUGCAGGAAGAAGGUGUCGUGCUGGUCCCGCGCCGGGUGCUGCUGGGGCUGGAAGAGGGCGUCGAAGUUCCAGAAGGAGCUCUCCACAAAAUUGUCGGUGGGCAUCUCCGUGAACCUGUGGGGGAGCCAUGGCAUCACCGGGAGGGGGGGGCUGUGCUGUCGUAGCCCCCCCCCUUUUGUGUGUGCGCCCCCCCCCCCCCAACUCACCCCAUCUCCAGGAAGAUCUGGCGGAGCUGGGAGCGCACCUUGAGCAGGGGGUGGAGGUGGCCACAGGCGGGCGGCAGCCCCAGCGCCGAGAAGUUGUAGGGCUUGAAGGGGAGCUGGCGCCACUGAGCCCCUACACGGGGGGGUUAUGGGGUCGUUUUGGGGAGGGGGGGGAAAGGUUGGGGCCCCCCUGCGCCCCCAGACUCACGUCGCGAUCAUCUCUGGCGUCAGGUCGGUCUCCUGCCGCGCCACCGCCGUGCUGAAGGCGCGGCCCUUGCGGAUCCAGUAGGACUUGAGGGUGCUGGGGGGGGAUAUAGGACUUUUGGGGGGAUAAGGGUUUUUUUGGGGGCUAUGUGGGGUUUGGGGGGAGAUAUGCUUUUUUUUGGGGGGGGAGAAUAGUUUUUUUUGGGGGGAAUAGUUUUUUUGGGGGGGAAAUAGGCUUUGGGGGAGAAUAGGGGGUCUUUGGGGGGAAUAUGAGGGUUUGGGGGGGAAUAGUUUUUUUGGGGGGGGGAGAAUAGGGGAAUUUUGGGAGGGAAUAGUUCUUUUUGGGGGGGAACAGGCUUUUGUGGGGGAUUUUUUUUGGGGGGGAGGAGAGAUAUGGGGUUUGGGGGAGAAUAUUUUUUGGGGGGGGAGGAAAUACAGGGUUUUGGGGAGGGAAUACGAGGUUUUCAGGGGGGAUAUUUUCUUUUUGGGGGGAAUGUUUUUUAGGGGGAGGAAUAUGUGGUUUUGGGGGGAAAUACAGGGUCAUUUGGGGGGACUAUGUGAUUUUGGGGGAGGAAUAUGGUUUUUGGGGGGGAAUGCAGGGGUUUUGAGGCAGAAUAUGGGGUUUGUGGGCGGAAUAGGGGGUCCAUAUGGGGUUGAGGGGGGGAUGUGGUGUUUUAUUUGGGGGGGGGAUUUUUUUUGGGGGGGGGGAUGGGGCUCACACUUCGAGCAGCAGCUUCCUCCUCUUGAGCUCAUUGCGUUCGCGCUCGGGCAGCCCAGCGGCGUCGCCCUCCUGCACCCUGCGCAGCCCGUCCUGCACCGCGUCCUGCACCGCCUCCACCUGCGGGACGGACGGACGGGCGGGUGGGGGGACGGACGGACGGACCGGUGGCCCCCCCAGGGGUGUUUGGGGGGUGUGGGGGGCACUCACGGCGCGGAAGACGCGGGGGCCGCCGGGCGCCGCCUUGUCGAGGCGCAGCCACUUGUUGGCCAUGGCCUUGCUGAAGCCCACCUGGGCACCGGGCAGCUUCUGGGGGGGGGAAGGAACCGGAGGGGGGCGGUGAGGACCCCCCCCGGUGCCCCCCCUCCCUCGCCCUCCCGGUAACCCCCCCCCCCCUCUCACCAUGGCGUCGCUCUGGGGCAGCCCCUCGGGGGGGAGGCUGCGGAAGAGCCGCACCUCGGGGCUGCCGGCCCGCAGCACCUCCGCGCCCUCCUCGCUCAGCUCCCAGCGCGUGGCCGCCCGCGCCUCCGCCUCGAUCACCUGCGGGGGGCACCGGGAGAGCCGGGAUUGGAACCGGGACCGAGAAUGGGACGGGAACGGCACCGGGACUGGAAAUAGGACCGGGAAUGGCACCGGGACAGGCACCGGGAUCACCGGGAUGGGCACUGGGACAGAGAGUGGGACCGGGAUCGGCACCGGGAAUAGGGACCGGGACCGGGAUCAGCACCAGGGGCAGCGGCACCGGGAACAGCACCGGCAGCGUGGUCAGUACCGGGACCGGCACCGGGAAGGGGACCGGCAGCAGUACCGGGACCGGGAUCGGCACCAGGAACAGCCCCGGGAGCGGGACCGGCCCCGUGCUCAGCACCGGCCCCGCGAAGGGGCCGGGGCGAUGACCCCGGGGCCGUCACCGGCGCCAGCACCGGCCCCGGGAUGCCCGGUCCCGGGCCCCGAACCCGCGUGGUCCGCGGCGCCCCCACCUCUCCGAGCGCCUGCAGGCUCUUGACGGCGCCCACGAGCGUCUGGUGGUCGAGGCCGAGCGCGGCGGCCGCCUCCAGGCUGCAGAGGCCGCCCCCGGGCCCCGGCGGCUCCCGCUCCAGCCGCUGCAGCAGCAGCUCCGCCACGCUCGGCGACAUCGCGGCGGCCGGAAGCGCUCCCGCCGCCACCCGGAAGUGUUCCUCCUCCUCCCCCCGUCCCCGUGCCGCGCGUGGGCGCCGCCAUCUUGAAUGUGGCGGGAGGGAGGCGCCAUCUUGGGAGUGGCGGGGCAGCCCCGGGGGGCCCCGCGGCGAGGGGGAAGCCGCGAGGCGCGGCGGGAGGGGCUGUGACGUCAUGAGGGCAGAGAGUGACGUCAUGGGGUGCUAGGUGAUGUCACGGCCCGCACCCCGCGGGGCCCCAGGCCAGUCGCCGUGACGACAGCCCCCCCCUUUACAGGCUGUUGCCAUGGCAACGCCCCCCAGGGCCCCACCCCCACCCGGGGGGGGGCUCCCUCCACCCUGCACCUGCCCGGUGCGACACGCGAUAUGACGUCAUCGUGCGACAUGACGUCAUUACUGCUUGCGUCACGGCCCCAAAUCGGGCUCUAAGUCCCCCCAGGCCGACUGGGGGCACCCCACGGGUCCCCCCCCCGCGCACCGUCGCGGUGCUAUUAUGGGAUGGCGCCCCCCCCCCCCCACGUGGUCCGCAGGUGGCCCGGCCCUGCCCC